AAAACAAAGGUGUCCUUGCCAAUAUUCUGUUUCCGUUUGACAAGCCCUGAGAUUUCUGAGGGGAAUCCACAAAAAUGGAAUCAGAUCACUCAUUUAUGCUGCGCACAAAUAGAAUUUAAAGGCCCAAUCUC
This 131-nucleotide long non-coding RNA is filed under the name Nannospalax galili (Upper Galilee mountains blind mole rat). RNAcentral describes it as "Prostate-specific transcript 1 (ENSNGAG00000010296.1)". It matches the Rfam family "Prostate-specific transcript 1". The record is from RNAcentral. Lineage: Eukaryota; Metazoa; Chordata; Mammalia; Rodentia; Spalacidae.